Molecule: transfer RNA, 94 nt
Filed under: Thermaerobacter sp.
Lineage: Bacteria; Bacillati; Bacillota; Clostridia; Eubacteriales; Clostridiales Family XVII. Incertae Sedis
Description: tRNA-Sec
Rfam family: Selenocysteine transfer RNA
Source: RNAcentral
GGGGGUAGAUGGAGGACUGGUGCCUUCCACGGACUUCAAAUCCGAUGGCCGGCCGGCGGUCGGCGGUGGGUUCGAUUCCCACAUACUCCCGCCA